This 1513-nucleotide long non-coding RNA is filed under the name Homo sapiens (human). Its description in RNAcentral is "HSALNT0380882". The record is from RNAcentral. Lineage: Eukaryota; Metazoa; Chordata; Mammalia; Primates; Hominidae.
AGCAUAAACGAAUCUCAAAAGCACUGGAUUAAAUAAACCGCUCUACAAUUCUGUAUGAAGGUCUGAAAACACUAAGCUAAUCUGUCGUAUUAGAAAUCAGAACAGUGGCUUCUUUGCAUAGUACAGACUGAGAAGGGCACAGGGAACUUUCUGGAGUGAUGGAAAUGUUCUAUAUCUUGACUGAGGUGAUGGUUACAUGAGUACAUACAUUUGUCAAAACUCAGAAUUGUACUUUAAAAUUUGUACAUUUUACUGUAUGUAAAUUAAGCCUCAAAUUUAAAGUACCUUUAUUUAUUUAUUUGUUUGUUUGUUUAUUUAUUGCAGAAUCUUGCUGUGUUGCCCAGGCAGGAAUGCAGUGGUGCAAUCACGGCUCACUGCAGCCUCUACCUCCUAGGCUCAAGCAAUCCUCAGCCUCCUGAGAGUAGCUGGGACUACAGGUAUGUGUCACCACACCCAGCUAAUUUUUUCAUUUUGUUGUAGAGAUAAGGUCUUGCUUAAAAUACCUUUAUAAGCCAGGCACAAAAACACAUACUUUGCAUGUUCUCAUUUGUGGGAGCUAAAAAUUAAAACAAUUGAACAACUCAUGGAGCUAGAGAGUAGAACCAUGGUAUGAGAGGUUAGGAAGGAUAGUGGGGAGGGUAGUGGGGUUAAUGAGUAUAACAAUAUACUUGGAUAGAAUGGAUAAGAUCUAGCAUUUGAUAGUACAACAGGGUAACUACAGUCAACAAUAAUUUAUUGUACAUUUAAAAACAGCUAAAAGAGGCCGGGUGCAGUGGCUCACGCCUGUAAUCCUGGCACUUUGGGAGACUGAGGCGGGUGGAUCACCUGAGGUCAGGAGUUCGAGACCAGCCUGGCCAACAUGGUGAAACCCCAUCUCUACAAAAAAUACAAAAAUUAGGCCGGGCGCGAUGGCUCACGCCUGUAAUCCUAGCACUUUGGGAGGCUGAGAUGGGCGGAACAGGAGGUCAGGAGAUCGAGACUAUCCUGGCUAACAUGGUGAAACCCCGUCUCUACUAAAAAUACAAAAAAAAUUAUCUGGGUGUGGUGGCGUGCGCCUGUAGUCCCAGCUACUCAGGAGGCUGAGGCAGGAGAAUUGCUUGAACCUGGGAGGUGGAGGUUGCAGUGAGCCAAGGUCAUGCCACUGCACUCCAGCCUGGGCAACAGAGCGAGACUCCAUCUCAAAAAAAAAAAAAAAUACAAAAAUACAAAAAUUAGCCCGGUGUGGUGGCACAUGCCUAUAAUCCCAGCUACUUGGGAGGCUGAGGCAGGAGAAUUGCUUGAACCUGGGAGACAGAGGUUGCAGUGAGCCGAGAUUGUGCCACUGUACUUCAGCCUGGGCAACAUAGCGAAACUCCAUUUAAAAAAUAAAAAGCUAAAAGAGUAUAAUUGGAAUGUUUUUAACACAAAGAAAUGAUAAAUGCUCGAGGUGGUAGAUAACACACUUACCCUAAUGUCAUUUUUAUUUUUAUUUUUUUUUGAGACACAGUCUCGAUCUGUCACCAGGCUGGAGUGC